UACAGAGGGGGCAAGCGUUGUUCGGAAUUACUGGGCGUAAAGCGUGCGCAGGCGGUGGCUCAAGCCAGGCGUGAAAUCCCCGGGCUUAACCUGGGAAUGGCGUUUGGGACUGGGUCGCUAGAGUGUGGCAGAGGGAGGUGGAAUUCCACGUGUAGCAGUGAAAUGCGUAGAGAUGUGGAGGUACACCGAUGGCGAAGGCAGCCUCCUGGGCCAGCACUGACGCUCAUGCACGAAAGCGUGGGGAGCAAACAGG
This 253-nucleotide ribosomal RNA is filed under the name uncultured bacterium. RNAcentral describes it as "partial 16S ribosomal RNA". It matches the Rfam family "Bacterial small subunit ribosomal RNA", at positions 524 to 776 of the family's 1533-position model. The record is from RNAcentral.